RNAcentral lists this long non-coding RNA (405 nucleotides) under Nicotiana benthamiana. RNAcentral describes it as "long non-coding RNA (NBEN_LNC031582)". Lineage: Eukaryota; Viridiplantae; Streptophyta; Magnoliopsida; Solanales; Solanaceae. The record is from RNAcentral.
ACGUGACCUGUCAUUAUUGUAGACGAAUUGGUCAUAUUGCUCCUGCUUGUUUUACACGACAUAGACAUAUCACUCAAUUGCAUCACUAUGAUAUGCCUAACCCUCAAGGACCCAAAAUGGCAUGGGUACUAAAAGAUCAUAAAUCUCUUUUGCAGGUGUGCUUGAAGGCUACAAUAUUGUAGUAGAUGCACCAAGCACAAUACCUUAUCGCAUCAAGGGGAAAUUUCGGUUAGUUAUCCUUUUUGACAAAAACCGAAUUGAUAAUAUAUGCAAGCAACCGAUAUUAACAUAUUUGUUGUUAAUUUGGCCUUAUAUUGUUAAAAAAUUUUGAUGUGCUUAAUCAUAAUAGUUAAUAUGUGUUGAGAUAUCCUUGUUAAUAAUUAAUAUCAAUUAUCCUUGAUGCAU